AUCUCCAAUGAUGAUAGAAAGAAAACUUUCGUUCUUCCGAGGUUGGUAAUUCCAUCCAUGCGGAGAAAAUUUGGAGACCUGAACUGAAGGAGAU
Dendrobium catenatum is the source of this 94-nucleotide small nucleolar RNA. RefSeq annotates it as small nucleolar RNA Z159/U59. NCBI's taxonomy places the organism in Eukaryota, Viridiplantae, Streptophyta, Magnoliopsida, Asparagales, Orchidaceae. The record is from RefSeq and is a predicted model, not a curated record. The transcript has a single exon.